GCGUGCCUAAUACAUGCAAGUAGAACGCUGAAGAGAGGAGCUUGCUCUUCUUGGAUGAGUUGCGAACGGGUGAGUAACGCGUAGGUAACCUGCCUUGUAGCGGGGGAUAACUAUUGGAAACGAUAGCUAAUACCGCAUAACAAUGGAUGACACAUGUCAUUUAUUUGAAAGGGGCAAUUGCUCCACUACAAGAUGGACCUGCGUUGUAUUAGCUAGUAGGUGAGGUAAUGGCUCACCUAGGCGACGAUACAUAGCCGACCUGAGAGGGUGAUCGGCCACACUGGGACUGAGACACGGCCCAGACUCCUACGGGAGGCAGCAGUAGGGAAUCUUCGGCAAUGGGGGCAACCCUGACCGAGCAACGCCGCGUGAGUGAAGAAGGUUUUCGGAUCGUAAAGCUCUGUUGUAAGUCAAGAACGGGUGUGAGAGUGGAAAGUUCACACUGUGACGGUAACUUACCAGAAAGGGACGGCUAACUACGUGCCAGCAGCCGCGGUAAUACGUAGGUCCCGAGCGUUGUCCGGAUUUAUUGGGCGUAAAGCGAGCGCAGGCGGUUUGAUAAGUCUGAAGUUAAAGGCUGUGGCUCAACCAUAGUUCGCUUUGGAAACUGUCAAACUUGAGUGCAGAAGGGGAGAGUGGAAUUCCAUGUGUAGCGGUGAAAUGCGUAGAUAUAUGGAGGAACACCGGUGGCGAAAGCGGCUCUCUGGUCUGUAACUGACGCUGAGGCUCGAAAGCGUGGGGAGCGAACAGGAUUAGAUACCCUGGUAGUCCACGCCGUAAACGAUGAGUGCUAGGUGUUGGAUCCUUUCCGGGAUUCAGUGCCGAAGCUCACGCAUUAAGCACUCCGCCUGGGGA
This 855-nucleotide ribosomal RNA is filed under the name uncultured bacterium. RNAcentral describes it as "bacterial SSU rRNA". It matches the Rfam family "Bacterial small subunit ribosomal RNA", at positions 42 to 879 of the family's 1533-position model. The record is from RNAcentral.